This 305-nucleotide ribosomal RNA is filed under the name uncultured bacterium. RNAcentral describes it as "partial 16S ribosomal RNA". It matches the Rfam family "Bacterial small subunit ribosomal RNA", at positions 338 to 659 of the family's 1533-position model. The record is from RNAcentral.
CCUACGGGGCGCAGCAGUGGGGGAUAUUGCACAAUGGGGGGAACCCUGAUGCAGCGACGCCGCGUGGGUGAAGGAGUAUUUCGGUAUGUAAAGCCCUAUCGGCAGGGAAGAAGAAAGACGGUACCUGACUAAGAAGCCCCGGCUAACUACGUGCCAGCAGCCGCGGUAAUACGUAGGGGGCGAGCGUUAUCCGGAUUCACUGGGUGUAAAGGGAGCGUAGACGGCCAAGCAAGCCAGGGGGGAAAGCCCGGGGCCCAACCCCGGGACUGCCCUUGGAACUGCAUGGCGGGAGGGGGGGGGGGGCC